CGGAGUGUAGCGCAGUCUGGUAGCGCACAUCGUUCGGGACGAUGGGGUCGCAGGUUCAAAUCCUGCCACUCCGACCA
Molecule: transfer RNA, 77 nt
Filed under: Mesorhizobium loti
Lineage: Bacteria; Pseudomonadati; Pseudomonadota; Alphaproteobacteria; Hyphomicrobiales; Phyllobacteriaceae
Also listed under: 127 other names
Description: tRNA-Pro
Rfam family: tRNA
About the family: Transfer RNA (tRNA) molecules are approximately 80 nucleotides in length.
Source: RNAcentral